RNAcentral lists this small RNA (4152 nucleotides) under Pongo abelii (Sumatran orangutan). Its description in RNAcentral is "processed transcript". The record is from RNAcentral. Lineage: Eukaryota; Metazoa; Chordata; Mammalia; Primates; Hominidae.
CUGGAGGGCAGUGGUGCAAUCUCUGCUCACUGCAACCUUUGCCUGCCCCCACCGGGUUCAAGCAAUUCCCAUGUCUCAGCCUCCUGAGUAGCUGAGAUUACAGACAUGCGCCACCACAGCUGGCUAAUUUUUGUAUUUUUUGUAGAGACGGGGUUUCACCAUGUUGGCCAGGCUGGUCUGGAACUCCUGACCUGAAGUGAUCUGCCCACCUCGGCUUCCCAAAGUGCUGGGAUGACAGGCGUAAGCCACUGCGCCUGGCCCCUUCAGGUGGGUUUUGAGGCUUCACUACAAUACUAGUUCCCCGUUGCUGCUGCAACAAAUUACCACACCCUUAGUGGCUUAAAACAGCACAGAGAUAUUCCCUUCCAGUUCUGAAGGCCAGAAUUCUAAAGUCAGUCCCACUGAGUCAAGGUGGGAGCAGGCUCAGUGCCUUCCCAGGCUCUGCGGGAGAAUCCGUUUCCUGGCCCUGGAGGCGGCCUGUACUCCUCAGCUUGUGCUGCCCUUCUCGAAUGACUCGAGUUUCCUGCUUUCAUCACUACACCUCCCACCACUCUCCAUCACCUGCUCUGCUCUUAUAAGGAUCCAGAGAAAUGGAAUAGUCGUAUCACUGAUCUACGUAAACAGGUUGAAGAAUUGUCUGAAAGAAAAUAUGGUGUGUCUAAACUGGAAAAGUCCUGUAAUAGUUUGUUCAUGAGCAUUUACACAAUGGAGUUGCUGUUUCAUCAUGGGGGUACUGUGGACAAGCCCAGGGUUGCUGUAGAGACAGAGUUUUUUGUCUUGUAGGCCAGGCUGGUCUCGAGCUCCUGACCUCAAGUGAUCCACCUGCCUCCCAAAGUGCUGGGAUUACAGGCACAUGAACUUAUGAAUUUAAGACAUGAAGAUUUACAGCUUGAUAAACCAGCUUCAGGAGACAUGAACUUAUGAACUCAACACAUGAAGAUUUACAGCUUGACAAACGGCUGCUGUAAAAUAUUACAGGCAUACUUUGGAGAUAUUACGGGAUUGGUUCCACAUCACUGCAAUAAAACUCCAGCGGGAAGAAGAAGAGGCCUUUGCCAGCAGUCAGAGCAGCCAAGGGGCCCAAUCCCUCACAUUCUCCAAGUUUGAAGAAAAACCAACGAGAAGACCCGCAAGGUUACCACAGUGAAGAAAUCUUCAGUGCGUCUUCUAGGGUCGGAUCAAAGAAGGCAGAAAUUCAGGAAGCAAAAGCUCCCAGUCCUUCCAUAAACCGGCAAACCAGCAUUGAAAUGGGUUAAGAGUGUCUAAGGAGUUCAUAGAAUUUCUCAAGACCUUCCACAAGACAGGCCAAGAAAUCUAUAAACAGACCAAGCUGUUUUUGGAAGGGAUGCAUUACAAAGGGAGCCCUGCACUGGGUUACGCCUCAGAUGCUGUGUGUCCCUGUUAAUGAAGACAUCCCAGAAGUGUCUGAUACGCUGGUGAAGGCGAUCACAGGGAUUGUGCUGCAUUCUGACUUAGGUUCUGCUAUCAAAAACAGAAUGCCCUGAUCCUUAGAGGCAGAGGCAGCUCUUCAGCCUAUGGGCUGAAGCUCUUGGACUCACUGAGGCAGUAAAAGUACCAUAUCCUGUGUUUGAAUCAAACCCCGAGUUCCUGUGUGUAGAAGGUUUGCCAGACAGGAUUCCCUUUUGAAGCCCUCCUGGUUUGGAAUUCCAUGACUUGAAAGGAUCGUCCGUGGGAGUAAUAAAAUCAAGUUUGUUGGUAAAAACUUCACAGUUUCUAAAAAGACCACGAAGCCCUGAGAGUAAUGAAAAGCUUCCUGACAUUGAGGUCACUGUGGAAGAGGGAAAUAUGUCAUGUACCAGCUGUCCAUCCAAUGACUGCCCAUCAGUUCCAUAUUCACCCUUCACUGCCUGAUCUGCAGACAUAGAGGAGAAUCUAAUGCCUGAUGGUCUGUCACUGUCUCCCAUCACCCCCAGAUGGGACCAUCUAGUUGCAGGAAAAGAAGGUCAAGACUCCCACUCAUUCUACAUUAUGUCUCUGUGUGUUUCCCAGGCUGGAGCACAGUGGUUUGAUCUUGGCUCACUGCAGUCUCAACCUCUCAGGCUCAAGCUAUCCUUCCGCCUCAGCCUCUGGGGUAGCUGGGACCACAGCCUCAGCCAAGAUGUCUCACCCUACUCUCUAUGAUGCAAGAAGCCCCUGGGGAACGUUUCAGUCCCACUCUACUAUUGUCAUGUGCUCAUCACAGUCUGGUGGAAUUUAAAUGACCUCUUAUCAAGAUGGAUAAACCCAAGUUUCCCAGUGCUGGAAUACAGAAAAUGGAUGGACAACUGGAUCUACCAUGAAAGACUUCAGAGUCCGGAAAGAGAGACUGACUGGGCAGCAUGUUAUUCAGUUACAAAAAGACUUGGACUAUGACUCAAAAAUGAUCAAAUAAUAGUUCAUGCAUCAAAUGCAAUAGGAAGCAUUUCUGGAGGGUGAGAGAAGCAUCCAGUUAAGGUGACAUUGAAGCUGGGUCCUGAAAGAUGAGGAAGAAUUGUAUGAGAGUGGGCAGAGAAUGGGCUGGGAUGGCGUGAGCUGCUCAAGCAGGGAGACCAGCACUGUAAAGACCUGGACGAUAAAGACGGCACGUUUUAUUCAGGGAAUGGUGAAUUAAGUGUGGCAGGAAUGCUUUGGAGAGAUAGUAAUUUGCUUGUAUGGAAUUUUGCCUGAGAGGCCUCAUUACAGUUUCUAAUCUUUUGAUGUUAUCAUCUAUCACUGUCCUUGUCAAAUAGUUUGGAAUCGUUAUAAUGAUCACAAUAACAUCAAGCAUAGUAUUUCAUUAAUUUUCACAAAAUCACAGGUAGGUGCCACAGUUUAUCCCCAUUUUGUGAAUGAAGUGAUGAAGACUUAGGAAUAAUGGGUGAUUUGCCCAAGCUCACCUGGAUAUUAAGACUGAGUCAAAUGUCGGGUCUGGUCUGACUUUAAUCUUUGCUUUGUUCGUGAGCACCACGUGUUGCCUCUCCUAUGCAGUUAAGCAGGUAGACAGGUGAAAGAAAAGCCCGUGUUUGUCUCUACUCAGACACUUCUGACUGAAUGUGUGGAAUUUCUACACCAAGUUCUCCAAUGCUGUGGAUAUUAACUGGGUAUCCUACAGUUUUAUUCUGACACUUCAUGGAGUUGGCGUAGACCCCACAGGUUACGGGCUCAGUCCCACGAGACCACCCUUGCUUCACAUUGCAAUGGCAAGUCCUAGGUUGUCACCUGCACUUUUGACCAACCUGUUACAAAUCAGGGGUUCCCAUGACCCCCUCUUGGGGUUUAAUCAUUUGUUAGAGCAGCUUACAGAGCUCAGAAAAAGUUUGUUUCCUUUUUUUCUGAGAGACAGGGUCUCAUUUCGUUGCUCAGGCUGGUGUGCAGUGGUGCAGUCAUAGCUCACUGCAUCCUCGACUGCCUGGGCUCAAGUGGUCCUGACCACCUCAGCCUCCCUAGUAGCUGAGACUACAUGCUUGCACCACUAUUUCUGGCUAAUUUAUUUUUUGUAGAGAUGGGUCUUGUUAUGUUGCACAGGUUGGCCACAAAUUCCUGGGCCCAAGUGAUCCUCCCACCGCAGCCUCUUUGAAGUGCUGGGAUUACAGAUGUGAGCCACCACAUUUCCUAUUACUGGUUCCUUGUAAAGGAUACAUCGCAGAAACAGCUAAUGAAAGAGAUGUACGUGCCAGAUGCAGUGGCUCACGCUGUAAUCCCAGCACUUUGGGAGGCUGAGGUAGGAGGAUUGCUUAAACUCAGGAGUUUGAGACCAGCCUGGGCAACAUGGUGAAACCCUGUCUCUGUAAAAAGUUUUUAAAAAGCUGGGCACAGUGGCUCAAGCCUGUAAUCCCAGCACUUUGGGAGGCCAAGGUGGGCGAAUCACGAGGUCAGGAGUUCGAGACCAGUCUGACCAACAUGGUGAAACCCCGUCUCUACUAAAAAUGCAAAAAUUAGCCAGGCGUGGUGGCGCGCACCUAUAAUCCCAGCUACUUAGGAGGCUGAGGCAGGAGAAUCGCUUGAACCUGGGAGGUGGAGGUUGCAGUGAGCUGAGAUCACACCACUGCACUUUAGCCUGGGCGACAGAACUAGACUGUGUCUCAAUAAAUAAAUUAACCGAGUGCGGUGGUGUGCACCUGUAGUUCCAGUUACUAUAUAACUAGACUCUGUCUCAAUAAAUAAAUAAAUAAA